Molecule: RNA transcript, 4364 nt
Organism: Cynoglossus semilaevis (tongue sole)
Lineage: Eukaryota; Metazoa; Chordata; Actinopteri; Pleuronectiformes; Cynoglossidae
Gene: cdh19
Gene name: cadherin 19, type 2
Exons: 17
Source: RefSeq, a predicted model, not a curated record
GCAGCAGCAGCAAUCGGGUGCCUGGAGCCAUGCUGACCGUGUCAUGAGGCAGCAGUAUUUAGAGGAGAGAGAGACGAUGAGAGAGUGAGACGUCACCACAACAGGAGGGUAACCUGUGAAGGGCACGUCUGCCUGCAACAUGGUCCAGGUCUGGAUCUCCAUGUUCCUUAAGCUGAUGGUAAUUGAAGGUUUGACCAAGAAGACCCUGGUUUCCAUAGAAAUCUUGAGAAGGAUAAUUCUGCUCACCUUCCAUCCACAGAGCCGUGGAUCUCUGCUUUGUGCUCCCUGUAAAAGUGAUUGAUGUCUCCACUGAUAACCUUAAAACCAGAGGGAAAGAAACAGUAUCUCAACUGAGUUGCAGCUCCAAGUGAGGACUGGUCCAUUUUUCAACGUGACCCCAGCAGGACGCGGCGCACCGCACCAUGACCUCUGUCUCCUGAUGGCGGUUGGUGAUAACUGGAUCUGUGGGGACGGAAGAAUCACAGCAAGAACCCAAACAACAGAGACAUGAGUCGGCAUACAGAGCACAUCAUCAAGUCGGCACACGGCACCGCUGGGAUCAUGGAUUACUGUGCUGGUGAAUGAGGAGUCGGGGGCAGCAGAGAGCAGCAGAGCAGACCGGUGACACCUCCGUCAGAGGACAUGCACUGGUGGGCAGUAAAAGUGGGCCGGCCCGGCCUUUUGGCCGUGCUGAUGUUCCUCUCGGUGAUUCCUGGCGGAGUGAUGCUGGGCUGCAGUCAUGAAGGUCUGGAAGCCCCUCACUUCGCCCGGGGGUGCACUCAUCUGCACCGGCGCCUGAAGAGAGGCUGGAUCUGGAAGCAGCUGUUUGUCCCCGAGGAAGAUCCCACUCCCCGUGUGAUUGGCCAGAUCAGAUCUGAUUCUGACCGAGGUGAGUCUUCUAUCAAGUACAUAUUAUCAGGUGAAGGCGCUGGUGAGGUGUUUCAGAUCGACGAGCAUUCCGGAGAGAUCCGGACCCUGAAGAGUCUGGAUCGGGAGGAGAAGGCCUUUUAUGUCCUUCAGGCCCAGGCCAUUAACAGGUGGACCAAUGAACCGGAGGAGCCUCAGUCUGAGUUCAUCAUCAAGGUGCAGGACAUCAACGACAACCCGCCGCAGUUCCAGAAUGAACCGUAUGUGUCCAGCAUCCCGGAGAUGUCUCCGAUCGGAACCACUGUAGCUCGGGUGACGGCCACUGAUGCAGACGAUCCCAUGUUUGGGAACAACGCCAAGCUUAUCUACUCCCUCCUGCAGGGGGAGCCGUACUUCUCUGUAGAGCCAAAAACAGGUAUCAUUGAAACGUCGAUGCCCAAUAUGGACCGUGAAGCCCGGGAGCAGUACCUGGUGGUGGUGCAGGUGAAGGACAUGCUGGGUCUCAGUGGAGGUUACUCCGCGUCCACCACGGUCACGGUCAGCCUCACCGACGUCAACGACAACGGACCCACGUUUCAGCACCAUUUGUACACCUUCAUCGUUCCUGAAAACGCAGCCGUGGGCACCACAGUGGGACGGAUUAUGGCAGAAGAUGCUGACGUUGGCGUCAAUGCCAAAAUGACCUACACCCUGAACGAGGAUCUGGAGGGCAGCUCCACCUUCACCAUUACGACAGACCCAGUGACUCAGGAGGGCGUGGUCGUGCUCGCCCAGCCUUUGGACUAUGAAACAAAGAGACGCUAUGUCAUGGCUGCGGAGGCCGUCAACGAUCACAUUGACACCCGUUUCCUGAGUCUGGACGAUUUCACGGACAGGACGACACUCAAGAUCAUUGUGCAGGAUGUGGACGAGCCGCCCGUCUUCCUGUCACCGUUUUACGAAUGGAAAGUUCCAGAGAACGCGGCAGUGGGUACCGUGCUCGGCAGCGUCAGCGCCCGAGACACCGACGGGGUCAGCAAUACAAUCAGAUAUGCAUUCGACAAAAGGAGCGAUAACACGAAAGCUUUCAGAAUAGACCCGAACAACGGAACCAUCACUGUUGUCAGAACUCUGGACCGAGAGACGGCAGACUGGCACAAUGUGACGGUGGAAGCCAAGGAAACAUCCCAGAACCGUCUCUCCUCCUCUGUGCUGGCGUUCAUCAAAGUCCUAGACAUAAACGACAACGUGCCAGGACUUGCCAGAGAUUAUCAGCCGUAUAUCUGCGAGGGAACGCAGGCAGGAGAAGUUAUUCAGCUGCUCAGUGCCAUUGACGCCGACGACCCUGUGGAAGGACAUCACUUCUACUUCUCCAUGGUCCCCGACAGGAACAUCAAUCCAAACUUCACCAUCAGAGAUAAUCAAGACAAUACAGCGGAAACCCUGGCUCGCAGGAGCACUUUUCCCCGUAAAGCCAGAAGCCAGUACCUGCUGCCGGUGGUGGUGACAGACAGCGGGACUCCAGCUCUGUCCAGCACCAGCACGCUGACCAUCACCGUCUGCACCUGCCAGCCACAAGGUCACUGUCCCACGGGGGGGGUGGAGGCCCUGGCUCUGUCCAUGGGGGUCAGUAUGCAGACGCUGUUAGGACUCCUGGUCUGCCUGCUCACCCUCACAGUGCUGUCAGUUCUACUGCUGAUUGUGUGGAGACACCGGCGGAAGCAGCAGGCGGAGCAGGAUGUGAAGGUGACGGAGCUGGAGCUGCCUGAGAUGGUGUCUCAGAAGGUGCUGUAUUACCGAGACGCUGCGGGUGACGGAGCAGAGCUGGGUUACCACCAGAGUUCAGAUGUUCCUCUGCGUCGCCACCCAAACCGGCGCAGGGACAGGAGGCUGCGGAGGGAGGAGGUCAGGGCCAGCAUCCGAAUGUCUCUGAACAUCAGGGACUCGCACCUGAUCGGACCGGAGGACGAGGUCUUCAGGCAGUUCAUUAUAGACAGGCUGGCGGAGGCCGACCAGGACCCUCACGUCCCUCCGUACGACUGCCUGAGGAUCUACGCGUACGAGGGCUCAGGGACUCCCACAGGGUCCCUGAGUUCUCUGGAAUCCUGGAUGUCGGAGGCUGCAGCUGAACCACCUGCCUCAAAUCCCAGGCCCUGUUUAGUGAGACUGACACCGUGGUACGGGACAGGAGUGGAGGACACUACCUUCUGAGAUGAUGCUCUCCACGACCUUCCAGAAAAGUUGACACGCUGCGCUUUCUUCAAUUCCUUGGACUUUUUCAACAGAGAUGAAAACAUCUUUAAGACAAAAGGUUUGUCAGAACGUAUGACUUCCUGCCGACCUUUCAAAAUUCACAUCACGGUGGCUUCUUCCAGUUCUUAUACAUCGUCUAUGAUUUGACAACGUUUACGCCAUGAAUUUUAAACUGAUCAUUAACAUAUAUAUUUGGAACGUACAUUUCCCUAAACGGGAGUGUUGUUUCCUGAUGUGUGAGAAAUGAAAGUUGACACAGAAGAGAAGACAUCCAUUAAAUAUCAAGUGUUUAACAUGUAUAAUGCUGUAUAAUGUGGUCCCUCUGCUUUUCUGUUGAGUCACCAGAGAGUCCAUCACACAAUCUGCGUGAGCCAAUCAGCAGCUGAGAGGGAGAGUGCGUCAGAAAAAGAAAAAAAAAAAAGUCUGGUAAAGUUAUAGAUUCAGCCUCUCAUGUCCGACCUCGCUGCCAAACUCAUCGCGCGCCGCCACAAUGGUCACUCCAGGGUCUUUUGGCAGACAGUGCAGCUUAUUAUUGAAUAGAUGCCUGAAAGGAUUCUGUGAGUCGUUUUAAAAAAAGAAUGUCUGGCAAUUGUGUGUGCCUUUAAGCUGAGGGCGGGGAGAUAAAAUCAUUUAUGUGCCUUUUUUGUGCUGUAGACAUCAUUAUAUGGGGGAUCAUAUUCCAGUGGAAUGGAAAUAGAAUGUAAUAGCAGCUGUCAUCGUCCAACAAGAGUCGGCCAUGUGCGCUUGAACGCUCGCUGCUCUAACAUUACAUCUAUAGACAUAAUGUGCAGAAUACACAGUUAAAGACCGUACCCUGUGAUCGUGGAUGUGGGGUUUUUUCUAUAUGAAUGAAUGGAGGAAGUGACAUAAUGAUGAAUGCACAAAGAGACAGCCCAGCAUGGUAAAUACUUCUGUUUUAAAGUAUUUUCUCCUGAUGAUGUAUACGCUGCUGUCGCAACGACACGGGGCUACAGAAAAGGAAAUAGCGGAGCUCGUCACAUCAGAAAGAGGGAGAUUAAGAUCUGGCAGAAUGUAUCAAGCUCAGGAAGCACAUUUGGCUGUGAGUGGUGGCGCUGCACACUUUGAUGGACGUCUCUUGUUGCAUCAAAUGUGUCAUUUUCCGUGCUCAUCAAGCGCCUUGAUUUGUUUUUUUUUUGAUAGGUAACAGUUGGAGGACUCAGAAGUGAGUGCCUGUUAAUCUCAAGUCGUGCUUAAGGUUUAUUUUUAGUGAAGCUAAGGAUGGAAAUAAAAAAGACGUGACAGAA